RNAcentral lists this ribosomal RNA (420 nucleotides) under uncultured bacterium. Its description in RNAcentral is "partial 16S ribosomal RNA". It matches the Rfam family "Bacterial small subunit ribosomal RNA", at positions 355 to 766 of the family's 1533-position model. The record is from RNAcentral.
UGGGGAAUAUUGCACAAUGGGCGCAAGCCUGAUGCAGCCAUGCCGCGUGUGUGAAGAAGGCCUUCGGGUUGUAAAGCACUUUCAGCGAGGAGGAAGGGUAGUGUGUUAAUAGCACAUUGCAUUGACGUUACUCGCAGAAGAAGCACCGGCUAACUCCGUGCCAGCAGCCGCGGUAAUACGGAGGGUGCAAGCGUUAAUCGGAAUUACUGGGCGUAAAGCGCACGCAGGCGGUUUGUUAAGUCAGAUGUGAAAUCCCCGCGCUUAACGUGGGAACUGCAUUUGAAACUGGCAAGCUAGAGUCUUGUAGAGGGGGGUAGAAUUCCAGGUGUAGCGGUGAAAUGCGUAGAGAUCUGGAGGAAUACCGGUGGCGAAGGCGGCCCCCCUGGACAAAGACUGACGCUCAGGUGCGAAAGCGUGGGG